UAAUGACUUAAUAAUCGGGUAAAUCAGUGUCACACAGUGUUUCUUGGUAGUCUAUAACAAAUCUACUGCAAAACAAAAGAAUACACAUCACACACAUGGUUAUGGGCUUAAAAAAAGACUCCAGUAUCAUGUCAGAUAUAGAGUUGACAUUUAUUACAUUUUUAGUUUGCAUCCCAAUAUGACACUUUAAACACAUCAGAGAAGACUGAAAUGGAACAAAACGCCUAUUGUGUUUAUUGAGCUGUACACUGAGAUUCUCAGUUGGUCAAUAUUCCCCUUCUGUGAUUCCACAACAUCUUGUCAACAUGUGCCUCAGAAAUGGAUCAGAUAUCUUAUACCAAUCUAUCUUUAUAGACAUUCAUCCAUAACAAGGCCAAGGCGUCCCUUAUAGUGUCCAGAAAUCUCUCGAAACGGUCACGUUUUGAAACACAUAAAAAAGCAUUUUGAUGAACAAAUUCACAUUCUUUAGCGUAGACAAUUUGUUUCUGUUUUAAUGAGUGUUUGCGAUUAGCUCCCUGAGUGGUCAAAAACCUCUUCAAUUGAAGUAUGUUUAUAGCAUUAUUCACAAAAUAUCUUACAGGUAGGCCCUCUCUCACUCUUUCUCAUCAUGUCUCAAGCUGACAGGCUCCCAGAGGCAGGGCCAUAAAAGGCCCCAGCUCACUCAACUGCCACUCUGUUCUCACACAGCCAUCAGCCCAGAACAUCCUGAAGACAGAACACCUCAAAGAUAAUCUGUGAAUAAUUUCUUCCUCAUGGAGCUAUUUGAAGCUAUCUGCACACCUGGUCCUGAUCAUCAUCUCUCCUCUUCAUAAGCCCGGACCUGACAUCCAUUCCCUGCCGGAUCGUUAGCCAUGAACAUUACUCACCCGGAUCAUUUACCCCAUUCCCGCCUGGUCGUCGGCGAAUUCCGCUACCCCAUUGGAUCCACCUAUUUACUCCCAUCAACUCACCACCGCUGCCCGCUACGCCACCUGGAUAUAUCUACCCAUUCACUUGUAAAUAAAUACUCACCUUCUUCCUACUCUCCUUGUCCUGGUCUGCUUCUGGGUCCAA
Molecule: long non-coding RNA, 1053 nt
Organism: Oncorhynchus masou masou (cherry salmon)
Lineage: Eukaryota; Metazoa; Chordata; Actinopteri; Salmoniformes; Salmonidae
Exons: 3
Source: RefSeq, a predicted model, not a curated record